UGCGUAGGCGGGUCUUUAAGUCAGGGGUGAAAUCCUGGAGCUCAACUCCAGAACUGCCUUUGAUACUGAAGAUCUUGAGUUCGGGAGAGGUGAGUGGAACUGCGAGUGUAGAGGUGAAAUUCGUAGAUAUUCGCAAGAACACCAGUGGCGAAGGCGGCUCACUGGCCCGAUACUGACGCUGAGGCAAGACUGGGGAGGGCGAAACAA
Molecule: ribosomal RNA, 207 nt
Filed under: uncultured bacterium
Lineage: Bacteria
Description: partial 16S ribosomal RNA
Rfam family: Bacterial small subunit ribosomal RNA
Source: RNAcentral